This 406-nucleotide ribosomal RNA is filed under the name uncultured bacterium. Its description in RNAcentral is "partial 16S ribosomal RNA". It matches the Rfam family "Bacterial small subunit ribosomal RNA", at positions 30 to 526 of the family's 1533-position model. The record is from RNAcentral.
AUUGAACGCUGGCGGCAGGCUUAACACAUGCAAGUCGAGCGAGCGGCGGACGGGUGAGUAAUGUCUGGGAAACUGCCUGAUGGAGGGGGAUAACUACUGGAAACGGUAGCUAAUACCGCAUACCAUCAGAUGUGCCCAGAUGGGAUUAGCUAGUAGGUGGGGUAAUGGCUCACCUAGGCGACGAUCCCUAGCUGGUCUGAGAGGAUGAACAGCCACAUUGGAACUGAGACACGGUCCAGACUCCUACGGGAGGCAGCAGUGGGGAAUGUUGGACAAUGGGGGAAACCCUGAUCCAGCCAUCCCGCGUGUGCGAUGAAGGCCUUCGGGUUGUAAAGCACUUUCAGCGAGGAGGCGUUACUCGCAGAAGAAGCACCGGCUAACUCCGUGCCAGCAGCCGCGGUAAUAC